This 952-nucleotide long non-coding RNA is filed under the name Gallus gallus (chicken). RNAcentral's name for it is "long non-coding RNA NONGGAT002280". Lineage: Eukaryota; Metazoa; Chordata; Aves; Galliformes; Phasianidae. The record is from RNAcentral.
CAAGAAAAUGCUUCAUUUCAAAUAUUUACUCAGCCUUGUGUAUUUUAUGGUAUCUCACGGUGCAGACAACCCAUCAUAGCCUAGGGGCUGAGGCACAAGCAGCCUUCGCGGUGAGAUACCAUAUUAUGUGAAGUCAUUGCCAGGUGGUGUCAGCAAGACAGACACUAUAGGGCUGCGGGGUGAGCGGCAGUCUUGUGGAGGAGGGGGGGCAUGGAAAGCAGUGCAUAGUUUGAGAGGAGCAAAGAAAAGAGACCUGGCUUUGUGGUGCACAUGUGGCUUCUGGUUUGAGGUGUCCCUGUCCCUAUUGCCGGCAAGUGCAGGGUGCCCGCAGCACAGUCCCGCAGCACGACCCACUGGCGCGUGGAGAGCGGGAGCACUAUGACUUUUUUUUUCUUCUCCAUAUAAACCAAUAUUUACCAGUAAUCCUGUGUUUCUGUUUCUGUUUUUUGGCAGACUUUUACCAGUAAAUAUCGGUUUAUUCCUGAAACCAGAAGCCCUAAACAUACCUUUGUUUAUAAGGUCAGUUGUCAUUUUGUCUCUCUCGUUCCCCACUCCCCCCAGUACAAACUGGCAGGUGAUUGAAAGGUACCAAGCUUUCUUUCUAGUUUUCCUGCUCUGCAACUCUGGAAAUGGAGCCCGCAGGACCUAGAGCCUUCUCUUGCCUGUGUGGUUCUGAUUGCUGGCAGUUCUCUAAUACAGCUUUAAUCUGAGCAGUUGAGGCUGGUCCCACCUUACCUUCAGACGUCUUGCGGAGGACUCCUGUUACCAGUUUGGUACUCAAAAGCUACACCCCACCAUGAGAAGUCAAUUAUUUUUUAAAAGGCAGUGAUAGAUUACUGUCUCUAGUUCUAAUGGAAAAAUUAUAUUGCAAUGCAACUUUAUAAUAAAUUGUUCAUAUAUUCAUAAUUCCGUGGCAAUCCCAAAUCGGAGGACGGAUCUGUUAAAGGUAUAU